This 347-nucleotide ribosomal RNA is filed under the name uncultured bacterium. Its description in RNAcentral is "bacterial SSU rRNA". It matches the Rfam family "Bacterial small subunit ribosomal RNA", at positions 553 to 890 of the family's 1533-position model. The record is from RNAcentral.
ACUGGGCGUAAGCGCGCGGCUAGGCGGACUUUGGUAACUCCCGAUGUGAAAUCCCGGGGCUCAACCUCGGAACUGCCUUUGAUACUGCCAAGCUUGAGUGCGAGAGAGGUGGGUGGAAUUCCCGGUGUAGAGGUGAAAUGCGUAGAUAUUGGGAGGAACACCGAUGGCGAAGGCAGCCCCCUGGAUCGGUACUGACGCUGAGGCGCGAAAGCGUGGGGAGCAAACCGGAUUAGAUACCCUGGUAGUCCACGCCCUAAACGAUGCGAGCUAGGUGUCUGGAUUUCUUGCUCUUCGGAGGCCAACGCUAACGAGAUUAAACUUCUGCGCCUGGGCGAGUCCCGGCCGCU